This is a non-coding RNA of Drosophila suzukii, 472 nucleotides long. Lineage: Eukaryota; Metazoa; Arthropoda; Insecta; Diptera; Drosophilidae. The record is from RefSeq and is a predicted model, not a curated record.
GUUAUUUUUGAUCAUAAUCCCUUCUACUCCGGUAUAUAGCAUUUUUUCAUUAAUUCAGAAUUACGAAAAAAAUAAAUAAAAAUGGAACUACAUCAUAUAUGUAGCUGCCACAGGAAGGAUCCAAAAUUAAUGUCAAACAAUACCAAAAUCGUAAUACUUUCCUUCCGGCAAAACGUAUUCGCUAGUUAAUUUAAAUAUAAAACCAGCACGGGUAUAUAAACUUGGGCUUACCAAAGCAAGCUUCCUUUUUUGUGAGCCUCUGAUGGUUAACUUCUUAAAGCACGGGAAAAUGAAUCGCUCCAUCAAAAAUGUAUUUUGAGAGGUGAUAAUUUCGGCCUACAAUCUGGAAGGAGGUUAAACUAAGAAACGUUAAGGCUUCUUUGGUCCUGACAAAAAUAUAAUUUGUGUUUCUUACUUAAAAACACUUUUACGUUAAAAAUAAACAGAAAACCAAAUUCUUUCGGUCAUCCGU